AUCCUGAUGCUCAUGGCCAUGCAUUGAGAACAACUGUGUAAGAAGAUAUGGAUAAUGCUUGAAAACUACUAGUAUUAGCACCAUUUUGCAUAUACUCCAAGGAAGAUCUCAAUAAAUGCUUAAUGGAAAUAAGUAAAGGUAUGAAUGCUGGACCUAAUACAGGAGGAAGACCCAGGUGAUUUGUGUACAAUUUGGACACAAGCUCUUGCCAACCACCUGAGAGAUUCCAACAAUGAGAUGAGAUUCCUUACCUUGAACCAGAUAAUUUGGAAUGAAUGUCUAGGCAGAACUUCUGCUUCAGAAUGACCACAAUUAACUACCAGACAA
Molecule: long non-coding RNA, 327 nt
Filed under: Homo sapiens (human)
Lineage: Eukaryota; Metazoa; Chordata; Mammalia; Primates; Hominidae
Description: HSALNT0120183
Source: RNAcentral